CAAGGAGUCUAACAUGUACGCGAGUCAUUGGGUGAACUAAACCCAAAGGCGCAAUGAAAGUGAAGGUUUCCUUCGGAACUGUAGGGAGGAUCCGUGGACGGCGACGGCUUGCCCUUCGGGGUGAACGCUCCCUUCCCGGCGCACUCCCGGGGCGUCCAAGACCGCCACUUGACGGUCGGGCGCACCAAGAGCGUACACGUUGGGACCCGAAAGAUGGUGAACUAUGCCUGGCCAGGACGAAGCCAGAGGAAACUCUGGUGGAGGUCCGUAGCGAUUCUGACGUGCAAAUCGAUCGUCGGAGCUGGGUUUAGGGGCGAAAGACUAAUCGAACCAUCUAGUAGCUGGUUCCCUCCGAAGUUUCCCUCAGGAUAGCUGGUACUCGGAGGAGUUGGAAGGCUUUAUCAGUCUCAUCCGGUAAAGCGAAUGAUUAGAGGCCUUGGGGCCGAAAUGACCUCAACCUAUUCUCAAACUUUAAAGGGGUGAGAAGUCGAGCUUGCUUGACGCAACAUAUGUUUGAAGCUUGACGAUGGAUGAAAGAGUACCAAGUGGGCCACUUUUGGUAAGCAGAACUGGCGCUGUGGGAUGAACCAAACGCCGGGUUACGGCGCCCGAUGCGACGCUCAUUAGACCCCAUGAAAGGUGUUGGUUGCU
RNAcentral lists this ribosomal RNA (651 nucleotides) under Argulus bicolor. RNAcentral's name for it is "partial large subunit ribosomal RNA". It matches the Rfam family "Eukaryotic large subunit ribosomal RNA", at positions 667 to 1232 of the family's 3401-position model. The record is from RNAcentral. Lineage: Eukaryota; Metazoa; Arthropoda; Ichthyostraca; Arguloida; Argulidae.